This 310-nucleotide ribosomal RNA is filed under the name Paenibacillus sp. Expt2_481C4_P13WB_C06. RNAcentral's name for it is "bacterial SSU rRNA". It matches the Rfam family "Bacterial small subunit ribosomal RNA", at positions 1054 to 1363 of the family's 1533-position model. The record is from RNAcentral. Lineage: Bacteria; Bacillati; Bacillota; Bacilli; Caryophanales; Paenibacillaceae.
GUCAGCUCGUGUCGUGAGAUGUUGGGUUAAGUCCCGCAACGAGCGCAACCCUUGAUCUUAGUUGCCAGCACUUUGGGUGGGCACUCUAGGAUGACUGCCGGUGACAAACCGGAGGAAGGUGGGGAUGACGUCAAAUCAUCAUGCCCCUUAUGACCUGGGCUACACACGUACUACAAUGGCCGAUACAACGGGAAGCGAAACCGCGAGGUGGAGCCAAUCCUAUCAAAGUCGGUCUCAGUUCGGAUUGCAGGCUGCAACUCGCCUGCAUGAAGUCGGAAUUGCUAGUAAUCGCGGAUCAGCAUGCCGCGGU